RNAcentral lists this long non-coding RNA (299 nucleotides) under Gorilla gorilla gorilla (western lowland gorilla). RNAcentral describes it as "lncRNA (ENSGGOG00000044594.1)". The record is from RNAcentral. Lineage: Eukaryota; Metazoa; Chordata; Mammalia; Primates; Hominidae.
CACAGAUGAAGAUGACAUCUAUGGAAUCUUUUCCUUGCAAUUGAUGCAUUCUUUAGUCCAGUAAUAUCAUCUCACUUUGUAUCCAAGAGAUCCUCUCUGUUCAUGUAGAAUUCAGGUAAAGAAGUAUGAGUUACUGCCUCUGAGUUGGCCUGAUAUGGCAAGACUUUCAAGCCAAACACUACAAUGGAUGUGGAAUAAAUGAGCAACAGAUAUUGAAUUAAUAAAUAAACAUCACACUUUCUGAUGAGGCUGGAGGCUCUCACUUGAUAGCAGAGGAUAAAGAGAAGAAGAAAAGCAGG